GACAGAGGUCCCGAGCGUUAGGCGGAAUCACUGGGCUUAAAGCGUGUGUAGGCGGAUUGGUAAGUACCUUGUGAAAUCCCACGGCUCAACCGUGGAACUGCUUGGUAUACUGCUUAUCUUGGGCCACUUAGGGGCUACCGGAACAAACGGUGGAGCGGUGAAGUGCGUAGAUAUCGUUUGGAACGCCAAUGGUGAAAACAGGUAGCUGGGAGUGUGCCGACGCUGAGACACGAAAGCCAGGGGAGCGAACGGG
RNAcentral lists this ribosomal RNA (253 nucleotides) under uncultured bacterium. RNAcentral's name for it is "partial 16S ribosomal RNA". It matches the Rfam family "Bacterial small subunit ribosomal RNA", at positions 524 to 776 of the family's 1533-position model. The record is from RNAcentral.